GGAGAGGUGCUCGAGUGGUUGAAGAGGCACGCCUGGAAAGCUUGUAAACGCCUAAAGCGUUUCGGGGGUUCGAAUCCCCCUCUCUCCG
This 88-nucleotide transfer RNA is filed under the name Prevotella sp. RNAcentral's name for it is "tRNA-Ser(gga)". It matches the Rfam family "tRNA". Rfam says of the family: Transfer RNA (tRNA) molecules are approximately 80 nucleotides in length. Their secondary structure includes four short double-helical elements and three loops (D, anti-codon, and T loops). Lineage: Bacteria; Pseudomonadati; Bacteroidota; Bacteroidia; Bacteroidales; Prevotellaceae. The record is from RNAcentral. RNAcentral also lists the same sequence under 1 other name.